AAGUCGUAACAAGGUUUCCGUAGGUGAACCUGCGGAAGGAUCAUUAAUGAAGUCUGGGCGUAAAAACCCUCUCUCUUCUACACACUUGUGAACUUACACUGUUGCUUUGGCAGGUCUCCAGAUGGGUUUCAAACCCAAAUGGUCAGGUUGAAAGACGCCUGCCAAAGACAUUUAUCCACCCUUUUUUAUUGUCUGAUUUUUGUUUUAAACAAAUAUAAAAAAACUUUCAACAAUGGAUCUCUUGGCUCUG
Molecule: unclassified non-coding RNA, 250 nt
Filed under: air metagenome
Description: partial contains small subunit ribosomal RNA, internal transcribed spacer 1, and 5.8S ribosomal RNA
Rfam family: Eukaryotic small subunit ribosomal RNA (bases 1-46)
Source: RNAcentral